UUAGUAACGGCGAGCGAACAGGGAAAAGCCCAGCACUGAAUCGCGCGCCCACUGGGACGCAGCGAAAUGUAGUGUUUGGGAGGAUUCGCAAUUCUGUAGUUUGGCGAUGCGUCCAAGUCCUUCUUGAAUGGGGCCAUUUACCCACAGAGGGUGCCAGGCCCGUAGUGACCAUUGCCGGCUGCGGAAGAAUCUCUCCUUAGAGUCGGGUUGCUUGAGAGUGCAGCCCUAAGUAGGUGGUAAACUCCAUCUAAGGCUAAAUAUAACCACAAGACCGAUAGCGAACAAGUACCGUGAGGGAAAGUUGAAAAGAACUUUGAAGAGAGAGUUCAAUAGUACGUGAAACCGUUUAGGGGUAAACCUGAGAAACCCGAAAGUUCGACCGAGGAGAUUCAGCUUGUUUCGGAAUGGAUGCGUAGCAUUUGCGAGACGGCUGACGUUUACGUCGGUCGCUACUGGUGUUGCCAUUUUUGACGAACUCGUGCACUUCUCCUCCAGUAGGACGUCGCAACCCGUUGGGUGUCGGUCUGAGACUUGCGGUGGAGCUUGUACGUUUCGGCGUGCAAACCCGUGAUGUUCCGGCCGACUGCUUGACGGUAGAAUUAAGGCGCAGGGCCGCGACUAGCUCGCGUUCAGCCCAAUGCAAGCGCGGCUGGUUAUUUGUUUUUCGGACUUGUGCCGACCUCAAAGCUAGUCGGCUGUUUGUGUUGGUGAUCCUGAACAGACUCUGUACACGCCUGUUAGCGGCGCUAUAGCUUUGGGUACUUUCAGGACCCGUCUUGAAACACGGACCAAGGAGUCUAGCAUGUGCGCAAGUCAUUGGGACUAUCGAAUCCUAAAGGCGUAAUGAAAGUAAAAGUAGAGCCUAGCUCUACCUAGGGAAGAUGGGUAGCUUUUGUUGCCUCGCACUCCCGGGGCGUCUUGUUCUCAUUGCGAGAAAAGGCGCACCUAGAGCGUACACGCUGGGACCCGAAAGAUGGUGAACUAUGCCUGGUCAGGAC
This 998-nucleotide ribosomal RNA is filed under the name Meronera venustula. RNAcentral describes it as "eukaryotic LSU rRNA". It matches the Rfam family "Eukaryotic large subunit ribosomal RNA", at positions 80 to 847 of the family's 3401-position model. The record is from RNAcentral. Lineage: Eukaryota; Metazoa; Arthropoda; Insecta; Coleoptera; Staphylinidae.